AGCAGUAGCCGCGGGAACACAGAGGGUGCGAGCGUUAAUCGGAUUUACUGGGCGUAAAGCGUGCGUAGGCGGCUUCUUAAGUCGGAUGUGAAAUCCCUGAGCUUAACUUAGGAAUUGCAUUCGAUACUGGGAAGCUAGAGUAUGGGAGAGGAUGGUAGAAUUCCAGGUGUAGCGGUGAAAUGCGUAGAGAUCUGGAGGAAUACCGAUGGCGAAGGCAGCCAUCUGGCCUAAUACUGACGCUGAGGUACGAAAGCAUGGGGAGCAAACAGGAUUAGAUACCCCCGUAGUCCCUGUCUCUUAUAC
RNAcentral lists this ribosomal RNA (303 nucleotides) under uncultured bacterium. RNAcentral describes it as "partial 16S ribosomal RNA". It matches the Rfam family "Bacterial small subunit ribosomal RNA", at positions 507 to 807 of the family's 1533-position model. The record is from RNAcentral.